RNAcentral lists this ribosomal RNA (398 nucleotides) under uncultured bacterium. Its description in RNAcentral is "bacterial SSU rRNA". It matches the Rfam family "Bacterial small subunit ribosomal RNA", at positions 28 to 429 of the family's 1533-position model. The record is from RNAcentral.
GACGAACGCUGGCGGCGUGCUUAACACAUGCAAGUCGAGCGGUAAGGCCCUUUCGGGGGUACACGAGCGGCGAACGGGUGAGUAACACGUGGGUGACCUGCCCUUAGCUCUGGGAUAAGCCUGGGAAACUGGGUCUAAUACCGGAUAUGACUCCAUGACGCAUGUUGUGGGGUGGAAAGCCUUGUGCGGCUAGGGAUGGGCCCGCGGCCUAUCAGCUUGUUGGUGGGGUGAUAGCCUACCAAGGCGACGACGGGUAGCCGGCCUGAGAGGGCGACCGGCCACACUGGGACUGAGACACGGCCCAGACUCCUACGGGAGGCAGCAGUGGGGAAUCUUGCGCAAUGGGCGAAAGCCUGACGCAGCGACGCCGCGUGAGGGAUGACGGCCUCGGUUGUAAC